AUUGAACGCUGGCGGCAGGCCUAACACAUGCAAGUCGAGCGGCAGCAGGGUGAUUGCUCGUGGUUUCGGCGGCGGACGGGCGAGUAGUUCCUAGGAACAUGCCUGGUUGUGUGGGCUUACGUCCGAACGCGGGCGCUCAUACGCCAAUAGUCCAGAGGACGUACGUGGGGGAUCAUCGGACCUUCGGCCCUCGGGUGAGCCGAGGUCGGAUUAGCUAGUUGGUGGGGUAAAGGCCUACCAAGGCGACGAUCCGUAGCUGGUCUGAGAGGAUGAUCAGACACACUGGAACUGAGACACGGUCCAGACUCCUACGGGAGGCAGCAGUGGGGAAUAUUGGACAAUGGGCGAAAGCCUGAUCCAGCCAUACCGCGUGGGUGAAGAAGGCCUUCGGAUUGUAAAGCCCUUUUAGUGGGGAAGAAGAGCAGUAAGUUAAUACCUUGCUGUUUUGACGGUACCAACAGAAUAAGCACCGGCUAACUUCGUG
RNAcentral lists this ribosomal RNA (484 nucleotides) under uncultured bacterium. RNAcentral describes it as "partial 16S ribosomal RNA". It matches the Rfam family "Bacterial small subunit ribosomal RNA", at positions 30 to 507 of the family's 1533-position model. The record is from RNAcentral.